UUACCUUGUUGCUUCGGCGAGCCUGCCUUUUGGCUGCCGGGGGACGUCAGUCCCCGGGUCCGUGCUCGCCGGAGACACCUUAGAACUCUGUCUGAAGAUUGUAGUCUGAGAUUAAAUAUAAAUUAUUUAAAACUUUCAACAACGGAUCUCUUGGUUCCGGCAUCGAUGAAGAACGCAGCGAAAUGCGAUACGUAAUGUGAAUUGCAGAAUUCAGUGAAUCAUCGAGUCUUUGAACGCACAUUGCGCCCUCUGGUAUUCCGGAGGGCAUGCCUGUCCGAGCGUCAUUGCUGCCCUCAAGCACGGCUUGUGUGUUGGGCCCCGUCCUCCUUCCGGGGGACGGGUCCGAAAGGCAGCGGCGGCACCGCGUCCGGUCCUCAAGCGUAUGGGGCUUUGUCACUCGCUUUGUAGGCCUGGCCGGCGCUUGCCGAUCAACCAAACUUUUUAUCAGGUUGACCUCGGAUCAGGUAGGGAUACCCGCUGAACUUAAGCAUAUCAAAAC
RNAcentral lists this ribosomal RNA (499 nucleotides) under Penicillium biourgeianum. RNAcentral's name for it is "partial 18S ribosomal RNA". The stretch from base 131 to 284 matches the Rfam family "5.8S ribosomal RNA". The record is from RNAcentral. Lineage: Eukaryota; Fungi; Ascomycota; Eurotiomycetes; Eurotiales; Aspergillaceae.